AUUGAACGCUGGCGGCAUGCUUUACACAUGCAAGUCGAACGGCAGCGCGGGCUUCGGCCUGGCGGCGAGUGGCGAACGGGUGAGUAAUACAUCGGAACGUGCCCAGUAGUGGGGGAUAGCUCGGCGAAAGCCGGAUUAAUACCGCAUACGACCUGAGGGUGAAAGCGGGGGAUCUUCGGACCUCGCGCUAUUGGAGCGGCCGAUGGCAGAUUUGCUAGUUGGUGGGGUAAAGGCCUACCAAGGCGACGAUCUGUAGCUGGUCUGAGAGGACGACCAGCCACACUGGGACUGAGACACGGCCCAGACUCCUACGGGAGGCAGCAGUGGGGAAUUUUGGACAAAGGGCGAAAGCCUGAUCCAGCAAUGCCGCGUGUGUGAUGAAGGCCUUCGGGUUGUAAAGCACUUUUGGCGGGAACGAAAAGGACUGUGCCAAUACCACGGUUCGAUGACGGUACCCGCAGAAUAAGCACCGGCUAACUACGUG
Molecule: ribosomal RNA, 484 nt
Filed under: uncultured bacterium
Lineage: Bacteria
Description: partial 16S ribosomal RNA
Rfam family: Bacterial small subunit ribosomal RNA
Source: RNAcentral